GGUCCAAGCCCUACCUUUCAUUGCAGAUGAGGCCAUUUUUUUUGAAAAAAAAAUGAAGGAAAUAUUGAAGGAAAUAUUGCAAAUGAAGUGAAGAAAUAUUAUAGAUGAAGGAAAUAUUGAAAAAUUGAAACAAAUAUUAUAGAUGAAGGAAAUAUUGGAAAAUAUAUUGAAGGAAAUAUUGAAAAAUAUUGAAGAAGGAAAUAUUGCAAAUGAAGUGAAGAAUUGAAAGAACUUCACCAUAUUUAUAGAAGAAAAAAAUGUUUAAAAUAAAUUAAAAAAAAAAAAAAAAAAAAAAAACCAACGGCUAG
RNAcentral lists this long non-coding RNA (308 nucleotides) under Malus domestica (apple). RNAcentral's name for it is "long non-coding RNA (MDOM_LNC012114)". The record is from RNAcentral. Lineage: Eukaryota; Viridiplantae; Streptophyta; Magnoliopsida; Rosales; Rosaceae.